AUUGAACGCUGGCGGCAGGCUUAACACAUGCAGGUCGAGCGGAGCGAGGGUGCUUGCACCUUAGCUUAGCGGCGGACGGGUGAGUAAUGCUUAGGAAUCUGCCUAUUAGUGGGGGACAACAUUCCGAAAGGAAUGCUAAUACCGCAUACGCCCUACGGGGGAAAGCAGGGGAUCUUCGGACCUUGCGCUAAUAGAUGAGCCUAAGUCGGAUUAGCUAGUUGGUGGGGUAAAGGCCUACCAAGGCGACGAUCUGUAGCGGGUCUGAGAGGAUGAUCCGCCACACUGGGACUGAGACACGGCCCAGACUCCUACGGGAGGCAGCAGUGGGGAAUAUUGGACAAUAGGCGGAAGCCUGAUCUAGCCAUGCCGCGUGUGUGAAGAAGGCCUUUUGGUUGUAAAGCACUUUAAGCGAGGAGGAGGCUACUUAGAUUAAUACUCUGGGAUAGUGGACGUUACUCGCAGAAUAAGCACCGGCUAACUCUGUGCCAGCCGCCGCAGUAA
RNAcentral lists this ribosomal RNA (501 nucleotides) under uncultured bacterium. RNAcentral describes it as "partial 16S ribosomal RNA". It matches the Rfam family "Bacterial small subunit ribosomal RNA", at positions 30 to 523 of the family's 1533-position model. The record is from RNAcentral.